Long non-coding RNA from Gallus gallus (chicken), 1929 nucleotides. The record is from Ensembl. Lineage: Eukaryota; Metazoa; Chordata; Aves; Galliformes; Phasianidae.
AUUGAAGGAUUGGCUGCCACAGAUGAAGGAUCUUUACCUGAAGAUUCCUCCCUUUGGAUUACUUUGUUAGCCCUGAUUGCUAGGACAGGACCUGUAAAUUAAUCAUGUCCUGUGGACUUGUACGCCUUCAGGUUCUUUAGAUGGUCUUGAACCUGAUCUUCACUUACAGUAGGCUGAUCUGCCUUCUCCCAAUUAUUACCUUUGCUUUUUGUAGCUUGUAUGGUGUGGCUGGUAAAGACUGAGGCAAAGAAGUCAUUGAGCUUUCUCCAUAUCCCUGGUGACCAAGUCUCCUCUUUCCUUCUGGAGAGGGCCUGCAUCAUCCAAGGCCUUCAUUUUAUCACAGAAAUACCUGUAGAAUUACAGAGCUUUAUUUCAUGGUACUCUGCCAAGUAGUUUGAUGAAGAGUUCAAGGUCUGCUCUCCUGAAGCAUGGAGUAGCAAACUUGCUGCACACACUCUUUGAUGCCCUAAGGAUCUUAAACCCCACCAUUUUGUGGUCAGUGCAGCCAAGGUUGCCCUUUACUCCCCCAGCAGUCACCAGCCCCUUCUUGUUUGUUAGGACAAGGUUCAACAUAGCACCUCUUCUUGUGGGUUCCUGUACCACUUGGAAGAGGAAGAUAUAACCAGUGCUUUUCAGGAAUCUCUUUGGUUUCUGGUGCCCUGCUGUGUUGUCCCUCCAACAGAUAACAGAGUGGUUGAAGUCCCCAAUGAGGACCAUGUUAUGUGAAUGUGAAGCUGCUCCUAUGUGUUUAUAGAGGGCUUCAUCCACUUGGUCUUCCUGGUUGGCAGCCUGUAGCAGACUCUCACUGUGCUGUCUCUUUUCUAUGCCUUCCCUUAAUGCUAACCCAUAAGCUCUCUGUCAGCCUAUCAUCCAUCCCCAGAUGGAGCUCUAUGGACUCCAACUGGUGGCUGAUGUAGAGAGUACCACCCCCUUUCUUCUUCUCCACCUGUCUUUCAUAAAGAGUUUAUACCUGUCUAUUCCUACAUUCCAGGUGUGAGAGCCAUCUCACCAUGUCUCAGUUAUACCAAUGACAUCAUAGCCCUGUACGUACACAACACGCCUGUAACUCUUCUUGCUUGUUCCCCAUGCUCCAUGAUUAGUGUACUGGCAUUUGAAUUGGGCUCCCACUGAGGCUGAUUUACCAAUUGGAGUUUCCUUAUCCUGCACCUUAGGGAAGUUCUUACCAGCCUGUGAUCUAAAUCCAGGCCCAGGGCAUCCAUUACCACCGUCUCAAAGUGGGGUAGUUUGUUUGAGGAUCACCUCCAUGGCAACUUAAUGCACUCCUACAUAAUUUAUAAUUUAAAUUAAAUUAAGGUCUGCACUGCAAUUCAAUCUCAUCUAAAAAGAAAAGCAGUGUAUGCACUCUGAGAGUGUCCCGCAAUGCAAUGCAAACCAGUGUGUACUAACUGGAUACACCUCAGGCAUUGGCUUCACAAGCUCAAUUGUGAGCUGAAAUAGAAUGCUACUGUAGAUUUAACAUCUGACUCAAGUGCUGUGAGCUAGUAAGAAUUGUAUGAAUAGAAUAAGAUUUUUAUUCUUUUGUCUAUGGCUAGUAAAAUACAGCUAAAGAGUAUUGUUGCUUUUUUUCUAUUCCAAAUCAGUAACUGUGAUAUUCCUUGUAAAGGCUCUUGCUUCAUUUUUGAUAUUUCCAAAUGUAUUACAUACACAAGUUGCACAUCUUUUCCUACAUGUAAAAACUGGUAGUUUGUAAUUGCACUGAAGACUUUAUCAAAAUCAAAGCAAAUUCAUGACCAUCACAUGCAAUGAUAGGCUGUUAUGAGCACUGAGAGACUGCUUCUAUGGGCAGUAAAAAAGAGUUUUUUAAACACUCUUAUGCUGUAUCAUUUCCUGAAACAUUUAACUGUUCCAAUCACAAAGAAAUAUACUUCUUUGUAAAAUUGACAAGGUGAAAUUAAGCUGGAAAUGGCU